This 433-nucleotide ribosomal RNA is filed under the name uncultured bacterium. RNAcentral's name for it is "partial 16S ribosomal RNA". It matches the Rfam family "Bacterial small subunit ribosomal RNA", at positions 29 to 507 of the family's 1533-position model. The record is from RNAcentral.
AACGAACGCUGGCGGCAUGCCUAACACAUGCAAGUCGAACGAGACCUUCGGGUCUAGUGGCGCACGGGUGCGUAACGCGUGGGAACCUGCCCUUAGGUUCGGAAUAACUCCACGAAAGGGGUGCUAAUACCGGAUAAUGUCUUCGGACCAAAGAUUUAUCGCCUUUGGAUGGGCCCGCGUUGGAUUAGCUAGUUGGUAGGGUAAAAGCCUACCAAGGCGACGAUCCAUAGCUGGUCUGAGAGGAUGAUCAGCCACACUGGGACUGAGACACGGCCCAGACUCCUACGGGAGGCAGCAGUGGGGAAUAUUGGACAAUGGGCGAAAGCCUGAUCCAGCAAUGCCGCGUGAGUGAUGAAGGCCUUAGGGUUGUAAAGCUCUUUUACCCGGGAUGAUAAUGACAGUACCGGGAGAAUAAGCUCCGGCUAACUCCGUG